This 1207-nucleotide ribosomal RNA is filed under the name metagenome. RNAcentral's name for it is "bacterial SSU rRNA". It matches the Rfam family "Bacterial small subunit ribosomal RNA", at positions 294 to 1498 of the family's 1533-position model. The record is from RNAcentral.
GAGAGGAUGAUCAGCCACAUUGGGACUGAGACACGGCCCAAACUCCUACGGGAGGCAGCAGUUAAGAAUCUUGCGCAAUGGACGAAAGUCUGACGCAGCGACGCCGCGUGAAGGAUGAAGGCUUUCGGGUUGUAAACUUCGGUAGACUGGGAAGAAAAAGUAAGUUCGUUGAGGGCUUACAUUGACGGUACCAGUCUGAAGCCCCGGCUAAUACGUGCCAGCAGCCGCGGUAAUACGUAUGGGGCAAGCGUUGUUCGGAAUUAUUGGGCGUAAAGGGCUCGCAGGUGGUUUGUUAAGUUGGUGGUUUAAUCUCUGGGCUCAACCCAGAGUCAGCCUCCAAAACUGGCGAACUUGAGUAUGAUAGGGGAUAGCGGAAUUCUCGGUGUAGCGGUGGAAUGCGUAGAUAUCGCGAGGAACACCAAUGGCGAAGGCAGCUAUCUGGAUCGUAACUGACACUCAUGAGCGAAAGUGCGGGGAGCAAACAGGAUUAGAUACCCUGGUAGUCCGCACCGUAAACGUUGUAUACUAGUUGUUGGUGGUUUCAACGCCAUCAGUGACGUCGCUAACGCAUUAAGUAUACCGCCUGGGGAGUAUGCUCGCAAGGGUGAAACUCAAAGAAAUUGACGGGGGCCCGCACAAGCGGUGGAGCAUGUGGUUUAAUUCGACGAUACGCGAGAAACCUUACCUGGGUUUGACAUGGAUUUGACUGGGGUAGAGAUACCCCUUCCCGCAAGGGCAGAUUCACAGGUGUUGCAUGGUCGUCGUCAGCUCGUGUUGUGAGAUGUUGGGUUAAGUCCCGCAACGAGCGCAACCCCUAUCUUCUGUUGCCAUCAUUAAGUUGGGCACUCUGAAGAAACCGCCGGUGACAAACCGGAGGAAGGUGGGGAUGACGUCAGAUCAGCAUGGCCCUUAUAUCCAGGGCUACACACGUGCUACAAUGGCCGGUACAGAGGGACGCAAAGCCGCGAGGUGGAGCAAAUCCCACAAAGCCGGUCUCAGUUCGGAUUGUAGUCUGCAACUCGACUACAUGAAGUUGGAAUCGCUAGUAAUCGCAAAUCAUCAUGUUGCGGUGAAUACGUUCCCGGGCCUUGUACACACCGCCCGUCACACCACCCGAGUUGGAGGUACCCGAAGAGGCUGUUGCUAACCGCAAGGAAGCAGGUCGUUAAGGUAAAUUCGGCGAGGGGGGUGAAGUCGUAACAAGGUA